This 263-nucleotide ribosomal RNA is filed under the name Pleurotus cystidiosus. RNAcentral describes it as "partial small subunit ribosomal RNA". The record is from RNAcentral. Lineage: Eukaryota; Fungi; Basidiomycota; Agaricomycetes; Agaricales; Pleurotaceae.
CCGUGAUGAACUAACCGUCUGUCGCUGGGAAGAACGAGAAUAAAACUUUGAUAUAUGUAUGUGGGGUUUUUUUAUUUUAAUUAAAGUAAUUAAUUAAUAUUCUUAAUUUUAGGGUAGUUUUGAAUUACAUAUUCUUGUAUUUAAUUAUAAGAAAUAGUAAUUUUUUAUAAAAAUUUAAAAACAUUUAUGUUAAGAUAUUUAGUAUUCAGUUAACUCAUUUAAGUAACAUCUCAAAAGUCAUAGCAAGGUAGCUUGUACUGGAA